This 2481-nucleotide long non-coding RNA is filed under the name Marmota monax (woodchuck). The record is from RNAcentral. Lineage: Eukaryota; Metazoa; Chordata; Mammalia; Rodentia; Sciuridae.
ACCUGAUCCUCAAGUUCAUACUUCAAUGGUAUUUGGAAUUGGGGCCUUGGGGAGGUGACUGGGAUUAGAUUAGGUCAUGAGAGUGGGCCCUUGAUGGGGUUGGUGGCUUUAUAAGAAGAGGAAGAGACCUCCCAGCUCUGUUGCCCUUGGGCUGCCUCCACCACAUUAGGAUGCAGCAGAGAAGCCUCUCCAGAUGCCCAGCAGGUGUUGGCACCAAGCCCCGGGCCUCCCGGCCUUCAUAACUAAGAACCAAAUAAAAUGUAGUCAAGUAUUUUGCAAUAGCAACAGAGAACAAGGACAGUUCCCACUGACCCCUGUUCAUACAUUUGUUGGUGUGUAUUUUCCUAUUUAGUGGCGACACCACCCAAAGGUAUAGGCAAUGUCUGCGGGGAAAAGAGAGACUCAGAGAGAAGCAAGACCUCACAGCACAGCGAGAGCUCAGAUCCCAGCCAUCUGCUCCAGGUGCAGCUGAUGAUGGAGUCACCAGCCAGCCACGCCACCUCCCUCCUUCUGCCACUGGUACUCAUCUGCUGAAGGUCUAGGGUCCCUAGCCGUGUCUCAAAGCAGGGACGCUUCUGAAGAAACAUAGCCUGAGUUCAGAUAGCCGCAUUCUUCCCUGGGAAAGAAGGGCCAGCAGUUCCACCACUAACAGGGAUUUCAUUUCCCCUAGCAUUAAACCUGACCUCGCAAAGCCCUACACAGCCAGGCCAGCCAGAGGAAAGAAGACCUCCCGGUUCAAUGUCCCAUACUAUAUCGGGACACACUUAUUACUCACUUUUGAUCUGAAAUUUAAAUCAAAUUGGGCAUUCGGUAUUUUCAUUUGCUAAAUCUGGCAACACUAAUGUCUAAGCAAGAAGGGGAUUGUGUGUCCACUCUGCUCCAAGGAGCUGACCUCAUCCAAGGGAGGUUUUUCUUCCAUGCCAUCGACCAUCCUGCUCACCUAGACAGGAGCUGGGGUACUACUGGGAGGCCGAGGCGAGAGUCCCAGAAAACCUCAGGGUCCUGGGUUUACUCAGGCUGCUUGGGAGGGAUUUUCUGGAAUCCACUUGACAGACACCACGGGGAAGAAGGAUUAAGAGGAGAGCAGAAGAGGCUUCAGGACGCCUCUCUGGAGGCCCCACGGGAAGUCCUGGAGUAAGAUUGUAAGUGUGACUGUUCCCUCUUAGAGAUGGGCUGCAAAUGUGGGAGCCACCCAACCUGGGCCAGGUCCUGGCUGAAACAGGAAAUACCGCUUCAUCUUGAGAAAACAGUGGUUUAUGCUGUUUAUUGAACACCUGCUGUGUACCUACCAUGAUGAGCACCACUAACCCUCAGGCCAACACCUUAGACCCUGGGCCAGGGGUCAGGCUUCUGUUUGCUGUGAGGACAGCACGCAAGGCCCUGGUGGCCUGAGGAUGGCAGGAAAGAGAAAGUGGAGGGGUCUCUCCCCCAGGGACAAUUGGGACCCUAGCCAGGGCGAGGGCAGGAGCAGGUUCUGGGAGCACAAAUGAGAGCUUCAGAAUCAUGCUCAGCCAUCAAAAAUAGCAUCAAGCGCCAAUUUCGUGCCAGGCAUGGUUGCUAAGAGACUUCACCAGCGUCAGUCAUCUCAAGGCCACGCUGUGACGCCAGUUGGAUUGUGAGCAGCAUUUUGCAGAUGAGAGGAGCACAGCAAGGACCUGUAUUGGGUGCCCAAGACCAUCCAAUGGGCAAGAGAACUGGGACUUAAGGCCAGGUCUUCCCAGAGCAGAGAGGCCCCGGCAGGCCAGCACCCCGCCUGGGCAGGCCAGCACCCCACCUGGGCAGGUCAGGACUGCAGUGUUCGUUUCCUAUUGCUGCUAGAAAUCUCUAGAGCCUCAUGGCUGAACAGCCCAGAUUUACCAUCUCAAGUUCUGAACUACAGUUCGGUGGUCCCUGAUGGGUCUCACAGGGCCGAGUCAGGGUAGCAGGGCCUGGCCUCCCCCGGGUGCUGACUUAGGCUCCACCUCUGUCUCUGCAGGAUGCAGCUCUGGGGAGGCUGAUCUCACCCCUGCAGCUCCCGUGGGUCUGGGGUCAAGGGCCUUCCCCUGCAGCAGUGGUCAGAUCUCUCUCUCUUUAGGCUCCGGGUUCCUCCUCAUGGCCCAGCCUCUGCAGGCCGGAGGACCCGGUACUUAGUCUCUGGACAUCUGGGCUUCUCCUGCUCCAUUUACUUCCCAAGUGACCAGAGCCAGAUCUAGGGGUUAAGCUCCACGCCCACCAGUGGGUCCCCACCCUGGCUGCACAGCAGAAUGGCGCAGAGAUCUUUAAAACCCACGGCCCUCGUGCCUGGAGGGGCUUCAUCAGACUGAUGGCACUGGCCUCUGUGGGAUUUUUUUUUCUUUUAACAAUUAAUUAACUUGUAAGUUAUCAUAUGGUAAAUUUUUUCUUCUUCUGGUGCACAGUUCUAUGAAUUUUAGUGCGUGCGUAGAUUUGUGAAAACACCAACACCAUCUGGAUAUAGCACAGUUUCACACCCUGAGAACACUU